AAUAUUGGACAAUGGGCGCAAGCCUGAUCCAGCAGUGCCACGCGGGUGAAGAAUGUCUUCGGAUGGUCCAGCCCUGUCGGCGGGGGCGGUGAUGUCGGUACCCGCUGCAGAAGCCCAGGCCAACUUCGAGCCAGCGGCCGCGGUACUACGAAAGGGGCUAGCGUUGCUCGGAAUCACUGGGCGUAAAGGGCGCGUAAGCGGCGUGAUUAGUCAGGCAUGAAAGCCCUGGGCUCAACCGGGGGACUGCGCUUGAGACGACCAUGCUUGAGGGCGGAAGAGGCUCGCGGAAUUCCCAGUGUAGAGGUGAAAUUCGUAGAUAUUGGGAAGAACACCGGUGGCGAAGGCGGCGGGCUGGUCCGUACCUGACGCUGAGGCGCGACAGCGUGGGGAGCAAACAGG
RNAcentral lists this ribosomal RNA (399 nucleotides) under uncultured bacterium. RNAcentral's name for it is "partial 16S ribosomal RNA". It matches the Rfam family "Bacterial small subunit ribosomal RNA", at positions 360 to 776 of the family's 1533-position model. The record is from RNAcentral.